GAUGAACGCUGGCGGCGUGCUUAACACAUGCAAGUCGAACGAUGAAGCCCAGCUUGCUGGGUGGAUUAGUGGCGAACGGGUGAGUAACACGUGAGUAACCUGCCCUUAACUCUGGGAUAAGCCUGGGAAACUGGGUCUAAUACCGGAUAGGAGCGUCCACCGCAUGGUGGGUGUUGGAAAGAUUUAUCGGUUUUGGAUGGACUCGCGGCCUAUCAGCUUGUUGGUGAGGUAAUGGCUCACCAAGGCGACGACGGGUAGCCGGCCUGAGAGGGUGACCGGCCACACUGGGACUGAGACACGGCCCAGACUCCUACGGGAGGCAGCAGUGGGGAAUAUUGCACAAUGGGCGCAAGCCUGAUGCAGCGACGCCGCGUGAGGGAUGACGGCCUUCGGGUUGUAUACCUCUUUCAGUAGGGAAGAAGCGAAAGUGACGGUACCUGCAGAAGAAGCACCGGCUAACUACGUG
RNAcentral lists this ribosomal RNA (466 nucleotides) under uncultured bacterium. RNAcentral describes it as "partial 16S ribosomal RNA". It matches the Rfam family "Bacterial small subunit ribosomal RNA", at positions 28 to 507 of the family's 1533-position model. The record is from RNAcentral.